RNAcentral lists this ribosomal RNA (429 nucleotides) under Chloroflexota bacterium. Its description in RNAcentral is "Chloroflexi bacterium partial 16S ribosomal RNA". It matches the Rfam family "Bacterial small subunit ribosomal RNA", at positions 355 to 776 of the family's 1533-position model. The record is from RNAcentral. Lineage: Bacteria; Bacillati; Chloroflexota.
UGGGGAAUAUUGCACAAUGGGCGCAAGCCUGAUGCAGCCAUGCCGCGGGUGUGAAGAAGGCCUUCGGGUUGUAAAGCACUUUCAGCGGGGAGGAAGGCGUUAAGGUUAAUAACCUUGGCGAUUGACGUUACCCGCAGAAGAAGCACCGGCUAACUCCGUGCCAGCAGCCGCGGUAAUACGGAGGGUGCAAGCGUUAAUCGGAAUUACUGGGCGUAAAGCGCACGCAGGCGGUCUGUCAAGUCGGAUGUGAAAUCCCCGGGCUCAACCUGAGAACUGCAUUCGAAACUGGCAGGCUAGAGUCUUGUAGAGAGGGGUAGAAUUCCAGGUGUAGCGGUGAAAUGCGUGGAGAUCUGAAUGAGUACCGGUGGCGAAUGCGGCCCCCUAAACAAAGACUGACGCUCAGGUGCGAAAGCGUGGGGAGCAAACAGG